CCCACACUGAGCCUCUCGGGGCCUGAGCCUCCCUUGGCUCUGGAGAGCAGGUGGGAGCCAUGGUGGUGGUCUCGCCUCCGGGACACCAAGUGUGGAGCCGAAUAGAGCCCAGGGCCUCUGCACUGAGCAUAUCCCCAGCCCGCACACACAGCGAGCAGUAAACACCUGUGCCUGAACAAAUGACUGAGCAAAUGAAUGGCGUCUUCAUGUAGCAACCCAUCACGGCCUCGAGCUGAACCCCGCUGCCGUGGGCCGCGCCUCAGUGUCCACAUCUCCCCAAGACCUGUGACACAGCCAGGCACCCGGUGCUGUCCCACGGAUGUGUGUAAUCACACACGACACUGUGUGAGGCAGAUCUCAGUGUCCUUGGAGACACUGGCCCAGGAUUUCUCAAUGAACCCCACACAGGAGAAGAUGCUGUCAUGUUCCUUCCAGAGCUCUUUAGGGUUAAAUCUGUUUCUGAGACCAUCUGGAAACACAAGCAGCCGGCAUUCGGGUCAUAACUCAAGACUUUGGUCACAAGUUAAAAACUAAAAUUCUGAUCGUAACCCAAGUUUGUCUGUCAGGCG
Long non-coding RNA from Heterocephalus glaber (naked mole-rat), 569 nucleotides. The record is from Ensembl. NCBI's taxonomy places the organism in Eukaryota, Metazoa, Chordata, Mammalia, Rodentia, Bathyergidae.